GACGAACGCUGGCGGCGUGCCUAAUACAUGCAAGUCGAACGCAUUUUCUUUCACCGUAGCUUGCUACACCGAAAGAAAAUGAGUGGCGAACGGGUGAGUAACACGUGGGUAACCUGCCCAUCAGCGGGGGAUAACACUUGGAAACAGGUGCUAAUACCGCAUAAUUCCAUUUACCGCAUGGUAAAUGGAUGAAAGGCGCUUUUGCGUCACUGAUGGAUGGACCCGCGGUGCAUUAGCUAGUUGGUGGGGUAACGGCCUACCAAGGCUGCGAUGCAUAGCCGACCUGAGAGGGUGAUCGGCCACACUGGGACUGAGACACGGCCCAGACUCCUACGGGAGGCAGCAGUAGGGAAUCUUCGGCAAUGGACGCAAGUCUGACCGAGCAACGCCGCGUGAUUGAAGAAGGUUUUCGGAUCGUAAAACUCUGUUGUUAGAGAAGAACAAGGAUGAGAGUGGAAAGUUCAUCCCUUGACGGUAUCUAACCAGGAAGCCACGGCUAACUACGUG
RNAcentral lists this ribosomal RNA (507 nucleotides) under uncultured bacterium. RNAcentral describes it as "partial 16S ribosomal RNA". It matches the Rfam family "Bacterial small subunit ribosomal RNA", at positions 28 to 507 of the family's 1533-position model. The record is from RNAcentral.